Adelges cooleyi (spruce gall adelgid) is the source of this 1018-nucleotide long non-coding RNA. RefSeq lists it as uncharacterized. The record is from RefSeq and is a predicted model, not a curated record. Lineage: Eukaryota; Metazoa; Arthropoda; Insecta; Hemiptera; Adelgidae. The transcript is spliced from 3 exons.
ACAAGUGAUAACGCUAGGUAUCUAGGCGUUAUCCUUGACCAGAAGCGGACCUUCUUCCCGCAUAUCAAGUCAAUAGAAGAGAAGGACUAUGAUCCUUUCUCCAGGCUACGAGGUUCUUUCGGUUCCGACUGGGGAAACGAUCACCUUACAGGUGGAAGCAUACGCAGACGACAUCGCGAUUGUCACAACGGCGUCAUCCCGUGCUGAUCUCAUUGCUCGAGCUGAGGAGACACUCCUGCUCACCCAUAAUUGGGGCGUAACUAUUGAAUAUAAUUAAUAUUGUUUAUUUGGGUCAUGGAAUAUAAGUAAUAAAUAUUAUAUAACCUUAUAUGGUAUUAUAUGUGUACACUGAAGAAAUCAUGAGUAAUAUUUAAGUUGUUUUAUACAAGGACCAAUUACAUCUGUAACCUAGAUUAUAUCAUAUAUAAGACAUAGUAUUAAGGUGUUGGAUUGACUAUUCUAUUACGGCUGCUGUUAUAAUUGUAACGUACGUUGUAUACAUAUAUUAUUCUCUAUACUGUGUGUGUUUUUUAUGUUUAAUAGUAUUGUGUUCAAACAUAUUGUUGCGUUUUAUUUUCUACUUAAAUACUACCUUCCACCAAGAUAUACAGGCGUAUAUCGCAAUAAAUUUUAAUUUUGCUGGGCAAUAUGUUGUUGAUUUUGCCGUUUGAGCGCUAAUAAUCAGGUCUGAUUGGAAAACAGGCAAUUGACCAAACAAAACCCAUUGUUGUAAAACCAAAAUCAUCUCAGCUUUGCAUCAGCUAAAAAUUUAGUACAUACAACAAGCUGUCCCGUCCCGGCGUUGCCCGUGUAUUAGAAUAGACACACAGUCAGCUGUUCGGAUCACUGUAUCCCUGUGCAAAUCAAAUUCUGAAUCUAAACCUUUCUCGAAUCAACUUAAUCGCGGACACAACAUUUCAUAAACAUCUGUCCAGCCGUUUAGUAGGAGUUUGCAUACUUACACACGGACAGAAGAAAUGUACAUAUAAAAGAAGAUUAGUGGACUUUAAGAAGAAUU